UAUGGGCAGACCUUCUGUCUG
This 21-nucleotide unclassified non-coding RNA is filed under the name Mus musculus (house mouse). RNAcentral's name for it is "oocyte_clustered_small_RNA8689". The record is from RNAcentral. Lineage: Eukaryota; Metazoa; Chordata; Mammalia; Rodentia; Muridae.